AGAGUUUGAUCAUGGCUCAGGACGAACGCUGGCGGCGUGCCUAAUACAUGCAAGUCGAGCGGGUUUCAUCCUUCGGGGUGAAGCUAGCGGCGGACGGGUGAGUAACACGUAGGCAACCUGCCUGCAAGACCGGGAUAACAUUCGGAAACGAAUGCUAAUACCGGAUACGCAGUAUCCUCGCAUGGGGAGACUGGGAAAGA
Molecule: ribosomal RNA, 200 nt
Filed under: uncultured bacterium
Lineage: Bacteria
Description: partial 16S ribosomal RNA
Rfam family: Bacterial small subunit ribosomal RNA
Source: RNAcentral